Molecule: non-coding RNA, 27 nt
Filed under: Rattus norvegicus (Norway rat)
Lineage: Eukaryota; Metazoa; Chordata; Mammalia; Rodentia; Muridae
Source: RNAcentral
UAUGUUUGUAUGGAGACUUGACCAGUC